UGGUCGAUGCUAGAGUGGUUAAUGGGGACAAAUUGUAAAUUCAUCGGCAAUAUGUCUACGCUAGUUCAAAUCUAGCUCGGCCCA
This is a non-coding RNA of Lupinus angustifolius (narrow-leaved blue lupine), 84 nucleotides long. The record is from Rfam. NCBI's taxonomy places the organism in Eukaryota, Viridiplantae, Streptophyta, Magnoliopsida, Fabales, Fabaceae.